AGUGAACGCUGGCGGUAGGCCUAACACAUGCAAGUCGAACGGCAGCACAGUAAGAGCUUGCUCUUACGGGUGGCGAGUGGCGGACGGGUGAGGAAUACAUCGGAAUCUACUUUUUCGUGGGGGAUAACGUAGGGAAACUUACGCUAAUACCGCAUACGACCUACGGGUGAAAGCAGGGGAUCUUCGGACCUUGCGCGAUUGAAUGAGCCGAUGUCGGAUUAGCUAGUUGGCGGGGUAAAGGCCCACCAAGGCGACGAUCCGUAGCUGGUCUGAGAGGAUGACCGCCAACAUUGGACUGGGGAACGGUCCAAGCCCCCAACGGAAGGAAGCAGGGGGAAAAUUUGACAAUGGGCGCAAGCCUGAUCCAGCCAUACCGCGUGGGUGAAGAAGGCCUUCGGGUUGUAAAGCCCUUUUGUUGGGAAAGAAAAGCAGCAGGUUAAUACCCCGCUGUUCUGACGGUACCCAAAGAAUAAGCACCGGCUAACUUCGUG
This 491-nucleotide ribosomal RNA is filed under the name uncultured bacterium. RNAcentral's name for it is "partial 16S ribosomal RNA". It matches the Rfam family "Bacterial small subunit ribosomal RNA", at positions 29 to 507 of the family's 1533-position model. The record is from RNAcentral.